UGGAUGUCACCAAGCUGGACUGCUGCUUCCUGGUUCUGACUGCCUCCAGGCUCCCCCACCACCCCCAGUGACUGAGGCGGGCUGGCCAGGGGCAGAGGAGAGGAAGACAGAAGGAGGGUGCGCUAAAGCUGCAUUGAAAGUCCCUCACGUCGCCACGGACCCUUGGGCUUUUCGGGGAGUGAAGGCUCUGCCGCGAAGCACGGCUGAGUCCUGGUCUGCAGCUGGUGGCCUUGGCCAUCAGAGUCUGAGACACUCUUGAGACACCGAGUCUUAGCAUUCUGGAACACCAAGAACUUAGAGAUCAAGCCAGGCGUGCCUAACACCCAGGACUUCUUCACCACCUGGGGAGAUGUGCCGUGGAGACAUCAAGCUGCUACUCACAGUCACACAGAGACUCAGACCAUGUCCCCCAGGGGCACACGGAUGUGACCACAGAUGAUGCUUGAGCACCUAUGUACACCCCUUCACACACACGCGGACAAACUGACGCUCACAGGUGCGCACACGCACACACACACACUACCCACGCCUCCUCCUGGAGGCCCCCCACGACCUUCCCUGCCCCUCCCUUCAUCCUUUGUCUCCCUCUGCCAGCCACAUAUUGUGGCUGUUUUCCCCAAAGCCCCAGCCUGUCACUUGAAAGA
Long non-coding RNA from Hyaena hyaena (striped hyena), 644 nucleotides. RefSeq lists it as uncharacterized. The transcript is spliced from 3 exons. NCBI's taxonomy places the organism in Eukaryota, Metazoa, Chordata, Mammalia, Carnivora, Hyaenidae. The record is from RefSeq and is a predicted model, not a curated record.